This 92-nucleotide transfer RNA is filed under the name Herpetosiphonaceae bacterium. RNAcentral's name for it is "tRNA-Ser". It matches the Rfam family "tRNA". Rfam says of the family: Transfer RNA (tRNA) molecules are approximately 80 nucleotides in length. The record is from RNAcentral. Lineage: Bacteria; Bacillati; Chloroflexota; Chloroflexia; Herpetosiphonales; Herpetosiphonaceae.
GGGCGGGUCGCAUAGUUGGUCUAGUGCGCAUCACUGGAAAUGAUGUAGGGCCUCUAAAGCCCUCGUGGGUUCGAAUCCCACCCCGCCCGCCA